This 271-nucleotide ribosomal RNA is filed under the name uncultured bacterium. RNAcentral's name for it is "partial 16S ribosomal RNA". It matches the Rfam family "Bacterial small subunit ribosomal RNA", at positions 524 to 789 of the family's 1533-position model. The record is from RNAcentral.
UACGUAGGGUGCGAGCGUUGUCCGGAAUUAUUGGGCGUAAAGAGCUCGUAGGUGGUCUGUCGCGUCUGGUGUGAAAAUCCAGGGCUUAACCCUGGACCUGCAUCGGGUACGGGCAGACUAGAGUGCGGUAGGGGAGAUCGGAAUUCCUGGUGUAGCGGUGAAAUGCGCAGAUAUCAGGAGGAACACCGGUGGCGAAGGCGGGACUCCUGGGCCGAAUGACUGACGCUGGAGGAGCGAAAGCGUGGGGAGCGAACAGGAAUUAGAUUACCCG